AUUGAACGCUGGCGGCAGGCCUAACACAUGCCAGUCGAGCGGAGGAAGGGAGCUUGCUCCUGGAUUCAGCGGCGGACUGGUGAGUAAUGCCUAGGAAUCUGCCUGGUAGUGGGGGAUAACGUCCGGAAACGGGCGCUAAUACCGCAUACGUCCUGCGGGAGAAAGUGAGGGAUCUUCGGACCUCACGCUAUCAGAUGAGCCUAGGUCGGAUUAGCUAGGUGGUGGGGUAAAGGCCUACCAAGGCGACGAUGCGUAACUGGUCUGAGAGGAUGAUUACUCAGACUGGAUGUGAGACACGGCCGACACUCCGACGGGAGGCAGCAGUGGGGAAUAUUGGACGAUGGGCGAAUGCCUGAUACAGCAAUGCCGGGUGUGUGAAGAAGGUGUUCGGACUGUAAAGCACUUUAAGUUGGGAGGAAGUGAAGCAAGUUAAUCACUUGAUGUUUUGACGUUACCAACAGAAGAAGCACCGGCUAACUUCGUG
Molecule: ribosomal RNA, 484 nt
Filed under: uncultured bacterium
Lineage: Bacteria
Description: partial 16S ribosomal RNA
Rfam family: Bacterial small subunit ribosomal RNA
Source: RNAcentral